This 253-nucleotide ribosomal RNA is filed under the name uncultured bacterium. Its description in RNAcentral is "partial 16S ribosomal RNA". It matches the Rfam family "Bacterial small subunit ribosomal RNA", at positions 524 to 776 of the family's 1533-position model. The record is from RNAcentral.
UACGUAGGGGGCAAGCGUUAUCCGGAUUUACUGGGUGUAAAGGGAGCGUAGACGGCAGUACAAGUCGGAAGUGAAAUACCCGGGCUCAACCUGGGAACUGCUUUGGAAACUGUAUGGCUGGAGUGCUGGAGAGGUAAGCGGAAUUCCUAGUGUAGCGGUGAAAUGCGUAGAUAUUAGGAGGAACACCAGUGGCGAAGGCGGCUUACUGGACAGUAACUGACGUUGAGGCUCGAAAGCGUGGGGAGCAAACAGG